ACGCAAGUGUCAAAACGCGUAGUAGUUUUCCAAAACACAAGACAGUUUUGAAAAUUUCGCAGUUUAGCAAAGUAUUUAGUCAGUUUGGAUUGAAUAAUAUGAUAAGAAAAAUUCUCCGGAAAAACAUGAAAAGUGCUUGGAGCUGCUUAGAAGGCCUACACGCAGAAAGAAUGUUUAAUGUGCCGUUUUUUUAAGCAAAGGUCGAUAAAGGGCGAUAUGUCAAAAAACGUCUUGGAAGGAUUUUUUAUUUGCAGCAUCUUUGAGACGAAGAUUUCUUUAUACGUUUUAUGUUUUGAAAAAGAAACCAGUUCAGGAUGAAAAAAUAACUUGAACCUCUUUCGGAUAACAAGUGCCAAAGAACGUUACGGAACUGAUUAGGAACUGCCUUGGCAAGGGAUGAUUUGUUUUUCUACGGUACCUAAAUAUUUAAAAAAAAUAUUCGCAUCGGCCUGACGAAACCACACACCAAUGACAGAAUUUUGCGAACCGCU
Long non-coding RNA from Uranotaenia lowii, 491 nucleotides. RefSeq lists it as uncharacterized. The transcript has 3 exons. Lineage: Eukaryota; Metazoa; Arthropoda; Insecta; Diptera; Culicidae. The record is from RefSeq and is a predicted model, not a curated record.